GUAGAAGUAGUACCCUUUACUUUUCUUUGGAUACCCAAUGAACAAUCAUUUACUAGAUUUUGGUCCAAGCUUAUCGACUUUUAAACAUUUUACAUAAGCUGGACACCCCUAAAUUCGAAGGUGUGAGAGCACCGAUCCAUGCCCUUUCCACAUCUCAUAUGAAGUUUUAUCGACAAACUUACAUAGAACCUUAUUAAGAAUAUAGCAGGU
This 210-nucleotide long non-coding RNA is filed under the name Elaeis guineensis (African oil palm). RNAcentral describes it as "long non-coding RNA (EGUI_LNC050925)". Lineage: Eukaryota; Viridiplantae; Streptophyta; Magnoliopsida; Arecales; Arecaceae. The record is from RNAcentral.